GGAGGGUGCGAGCGUUGUCCGGAAUCACUGGGCGUAAAGGGCACGUAGGCGGCUCGGCAAAUCGGUCGUGGAAUCUCGACGCUUACCGUCGAAACGGCGGCCGAAAAUACCGGGCUCGAGGGCGUGAGGGGUCACUGGAACUCCUGGUGAAGCGGUGAAAUGCGUAGAUAUCAGGAGGAACGCCGGAGGCGAAAGCGAGUGACUGGCGCGUUCCUGACGCUGAGGUGCGAAAGCUAGGGGAGCAAACAGGAUUAGAUACCCUGGUAGUCCUAGCCGUAAACGAUGGACACUGAGUGAAGGAGGGCUUGCCCUUCUUUGCUGCAGCUAACGCGUUAAGUGUCCCGCCUGGGGAGUACGGCCGCAAGGUUA
RNAcentral lists this ribosomal RNA (369 nucleotides) under uncultured bacterium. Its description in RNAcentral is "bacterial SSU rRNA". It matches the Rfam family "Bacterial small subunit ribosomal RNA", at positions 527 to 896 of the family's 1533-position model. The record is from RNAcentral.